UACGAAGGUGGCAAGCGUUACUCGGAAUUACUAGGCGUAAAGGGCAGGUAGGUGGUUCGAUAAGUUUGUUGUGAAAGCUCCCGGCUUAACUGGGAGAGGUCAACAAAUACUGUCGGGCUUGAGUAUGGGAGAGGGUACUGGAAUUCCCGGUGUAGCGGUGAAAUGCGCAGAUAUCGGGAGGAACACCAAUGGCGAAAGCAGGUGCCUGGACCAUUACUGACACUAAGCUGCGAAAGCUAGGGGAGCAAACAGGAUUAGAUACCCUGGUAGUCCUAGCUGUAAACGAUGCACAUUAGGCGUGAGGGGUAUCGACCCCCUUCGUGCCGACGCAAACGCAUUAAAUGUGCCGCCUGGGGAGUACGGCCGCAAGGUUGAA
Molecule: ribosomal RNA, 376 nt
Filed under: uncultured bacterium
Lineage: Bacteria
Description: bacterial SSU rRNA
Rfam family: Bacterial small subunit ribosomal RNA
Source: RNAcentral